RNAcentral lists this ribosomal RNA (484 nucleotides) under uncultured bacterium. RNAcentral describes it as "partial 16S ribosomal RNA". It matches the Rfam family "Bacterial small subunit ribosomal RNA", at positions 28 to 507 of the family's 1533-position model. The record is from RNAcentral.
GACGAACGCUGGCGGCGUGCUUAACACAUGCAAGUCGAACGAAGAGCGAUGGAAGCUUGCUUCUAUCAAUCUUAGUGGCGAACGGGUGAGUAACGCGUAAUCAACCUGCCCUUCAGAGGGGGACAACAGUUGGAAACGCCUGCUAAUACCGCAUACGAUCUAAUCUCGGCAUCGAGGAUAGAUGAAAGGUGGCCUCUACAUGUAAGUGAUCACUGAAGGAGGGGGUUGCGUCUGUGUAGUUAGGGGGUGGGGUAACGGCACAGCAAGGCGAGGAUCAGUAGCUGGUCGGGGAGGAGGACCAGCCGCAGUGGGACUGCGACCCGGCCCCGGCUCCUACGGGAGGCAGCAGGAGAGAAUAUUAGACGAUGGGGGCGACCCUGAUCCAGCCAUGGCGCGUGAGUGAUGAAGGGCUUAGGGUUGUGAAGCUGCUUUGGACGGGAAGAUAGUGACGGUACCGGGAGAAUAAGCCCCGGCUAACUUCGUG